This 651-nucleotide ribosomal RNA is filed under the name uncultured bacterium. Its description in RNAcentral is "bacterial SSU rRNA". It matches the Rfam family "Bacterial small subunit ribosomal RNA", at positions 8 to 650 of the family's 1533-position model. The record is from RNAcentral.
AGAGUUUGAUCCUGGCUCAGAUUGCAGUGAGGGGGCAGGCCUAAAACAUGCAAGUCGAACGGAAACCUUGGAAGCUUGCUUCCAGCUGUCGAGUGGCGAACGGGUGAGUAACGCGUAGGAAUCUACCCAGUAGUGGGGGACAACCCGGGGAAACCCGGGCUAAUACCGCAUACGCUCUGCGGAGGAAAGCGGGGGAUCUUCGGACCUCGCGCUAUUGGAGGAGCCUGCGUCGGAUUAGCUAGUUGGUAGGGUAAAGGCCUACCAAGGCGACGAUCCGUAGCUGGUCUGAGAGGACGAUCAGCCACACUGGAACUGAGACACGGUCCAGACUCCUACGGGAGGCAGCAGUUAGGAAUCAUGGGCAAUGGGCGCAAGCCUGACCCAGCCAUGCCGCGUGUGUGAAGAAGGCCCUCGGGUUGUAAAGCACUUUCAGUGGUGAAGAAAAGCUCGAAGUUAAUAGCCUCGAGUCUUGACGUUAACCACAGAAGAAGCACCGGCUAACUCCGUGCCAGCAGCCGCGGUAAUACGGAGGGUGCGAACGUUAAUCGGAAUUACUGGGCGUAAAGCGCACGUAGGCGGUUCGCUAAGUGGGAUGUGAAAGCCCUGGGCUUAACCUGGGAACUGCAUUUCAGACUGACGAACUAGAGUACG